AAAGUUCCCAAAAUGUAUAUCCAAAAAGAGAAACCUUCACUUUCUCUUGCUCUUUCAUUCAUUUUCUUGCUCACAUUCUUCUUUCCCCCAAAAUCAUUAUUAGUAUCAAGUACUCAACAAAUUCAUGUUCACAAAAACAUCCAAAUUGCAAAUUCACAUUGCCAAGACACACUUUACCCUAAGCUUUGCAUUUCCACUCUUUCAUUAAUCCCAAAUCUUCAUAAAAAAUCAAUUCCAGAAAUCAUAUCUUCCAAUGUCAAUGUCACAAUGAAUGAAGUCAAAUCCUCUGCUGAAAAUUGCUCUAACAUACUUCACCAUAUGUCCAAAUUGGACCCUAUUGAGAAAAGGGCAUUAGAUGAUUGUAUUGAACUUUUAGGUGAUACAACUAUUGAUGAGUUACAAACAACUCUUAAUGAUCUUUCUACUAAAAAUAGUAGUAAUUCACCUUUAAAGCACUAUAAUGAUCUACAAACACUUCUUAGUGGUGCAAUGACAAAUCAAGAUACUUGUCUUGAAGGAAUUCACAAAAGUAAACACAAAUUGAGUCAAUACAUUGAGAAGAACUUGCAUACAAUAUCUCAUCAUAUGAGCAACUCUCUUGCCAUGCUUAAGAAGUUAAAGACAGGGUCGUCUCAAGGGUCGUCAUCAAACUCUAAUGAAGUCUUCCCCGAGUACGGCACCAUGAAGAAUGGGUACCCAAAAUGGUUGCAAAAAAAGGACCGGACCCUUUUACAAGCUCCGUUGAACCAAAUUAAGUUCAAUUUGGUUGUGGCUAAAGAUGGUAGUGGUAAUUUUACUACUAUUAAUGCAGCGUUAAGUGCUGCACCAAAUUCUUCUAGUACAAGAUUUGUGAUUUACAUCAAGGCGGGAACGUAUUUCGAAUAUAUUGACGUAGAAAGAAAGAAAAGUAUGAUAAUGUUCAUCGGAGAUGGGAUCGGAAAAACAGUAAUAAAGGGUAAUCGGAACGUCGUAGAUGGAUGGACUACUUUCCGAUCA
Molecule: unclassified non-coding RNA, 996 nt
Filed under: Hevea brasiliensis (rubber tree)
Lineage: Eukaryota; Viridiplantae; Streptophyta; Magnoliopsida; Malpighiales; Euphorbiaceae
Source: RNAcentral